This 413-nucleotide ribosomal RNA is filed under the name uncultured bacterium. RNAcentral describes it as "bacterial SSU rRNA". It matches the Rfam family "Bacterial small subunit ribosomal RNA", at positions 505 to 916 of the family's 1533-position model. The record is from RNAcentral.
GUGUCAGCCGCCGCGGUAAUACGUAGGGAGCGAGCGUUGUCCGGAAUCAUUGGGCGUAAAGAGCAUGUAGGUGGAUCAAUAAGUCUGCUGUGAAAGUCGAAGGCUCAACCUUCGAAAGCCGGUGGAUACUGUUGAUCUAGAGUACGGAAGAGGCGAGUGGAAUUCCUGGUGUAGCGGUGGAAUGCGCAGAUAUCAGGAGGAACACCAAUAGCGAAGGCAGCUCGCUGGGACGUUACUGACACUGGGAUGCGAAAGCGUGGGGAGCAAACAGGAUUAGAUACCCUGGUAGUCCACGCCGUAAACGAUGGGUACUAGAUGUGGGAGGUGUCGACUCCUUCCGUAUCGUAGCUAACGCACUAAGUACCCCGCCUGGGGAGUACGGCCGCAAGGCUAAAACUCAAAUGAAUUGGCGG